UAAUAAGUGUUUUAUGGCACUUUUUUAAAUCCAUAUCCACCUUGUGUGCAAUGUCGGUCGAUCUUCUUUUUUUUGAGGAUCGACCAAACAUCAACCUUUAUUUUUUAACUCUUUGUCUGAAAAAUAUUAUGAAUAAACAAUUCAAAAUA
RNAcentral lists this unclassified non-coding RNA (149 nucleotides) under soil metagenome. RNAcentral describes it as "partial internal transcribed spacer 1". The record is from RNAcentral.